Molecule: RNA transcript, 1965 nt
Organism: Neopsephotus bourkii (Bourke's parrot)
Lineage: Eukaryota; Metazoa; Chordata; Aves; Psittaciformes; Psittacidae
Gene: CCZ1
Gene name: CCZ1 homolog, vacuolar protein trafficking and biogenesis associated
Exons: 15
Source: RefSeq, a predicted model, not a curated record
CUCUUCCGGGACGGGGGGAGAAGGCGGAAGUGCUGUGGGGACGGUGCCGGCGGAGGGCUCAGGGCUGCUCCCCGAUGGUGUGUGGCGGCUGCUGGCUCCAGGCGCUUUCGCUUCAGGCUCAGUAUGGCGACGGCGGCGGCGGGGGGAGCUGGACAGGAGAAACAGCUCGCUCCGACUCUGCUCAGUUUCUUCAUCUACAACCCCAAACUAGGGCCCAAGGAGGGAGAGGAAGAAAAGAAGAUUCUCUUCUAUCACCCAAAUGAAGUAGAAAAGAAUGAAAAAAUUAGAAAUGUGGGACUCUGUGAAGCUAUAGUACAAUUUACAAGGACCUUCAGUCCAACAAAACCUGCAAAAUCCCUACAUACGCAGAAGAAUAGACAAUUUUUCCAUGAACCUGAAGAAAACUUCUGGAUGGUCAUGGUUGUACGGAAUCCCAUAAUAGAAAAACACAAAGAUGGAAAGCCAGUCUAUGAAUAUCAGGAAGAAGAAUUAUUGGACAAGGUGUAUAGUUCGGUCCUACAGCAGUGCUACAGCAUGUACAAGCUUUUCAAUGGCACAUUCCUGAAAGCCAUGGAAGAUGGAGGUGUGAAAGUUCUCAAGGAGAGACUAGAAAAAUUCUUUCAUCGGUACUUGCAGACACUGCAUUUACAGUCUUGCGAUCUGCUGGAUGUGUUUUGUGGAAUCAGCUUCUUUCCCCUGGAUAAAAUGACUUAUUUGAAAAUUCAGUCAUUUAUUAAUAGGAUGGAAGAAAGCCUGAGCAUAGUCAAGUAUACUGCAUUUCUCUAUAAUGACCAGCUUAUCUGGAGUGGACUGGAACAAGAUGACAUGAGAAUUUUGUACAAGUAUCUCACGACAUCUCUGUUUCCAAGGCACAUGGAGCCUGAGUUAGCAGGAAGAGAUUCUCCAAUACGUGCUGAAAUGCCAGGAAAUCUACAACACUAUGGAAGGUUUCUUACUGGACCUUUAAAUCUGAAUGAUCCAGAAGCAAAAUGCCGUUUCCCCAAAAUAUUUGUUAACACUGAUGACACUUAUGAAGAGCUUCAUUUAAUUGUUUAUAAGGCCAUGAGCGCAGCUGUCUGCUUUAUGAUUGAUGCUUCGAUUCCACCUACGCUGGAGUUCUGUCGUAAACUGGACAGCAUUGUUGGGCCUCAACUCACCGUGCUAGCAUCAGAUAUAUGUGAACAAUACAACAUCAACAAGAGAAUAUCAGGGGCUGAGAAGGAGCCUCAGUUUAAGUUCAUCUAUUUCAAUCACAUGAACCUGGCAGAGAAAAGUACCAUUCACAUGAGGAAAACACCCAGUGUAUCACUUGCAUCAGUUCACCCUGACCUCAUGAAGAUUCUCGGUGACAUCAACAGUGACUUCUCCAGAGUUGAUGAAGAUGAGGAAAUUAUUGUGAAGGCAAUGAGUGAUUACUGGGUCGUUGGGAAAAAGUCUGACCAGCGAGAACUGUAUGUUAUUUUGAAUCAAAAAAAUGCAAACCUGAUAGAAGUUAAUGGUAAGGAUUGUUUUUAUUACAUUUAAACACAGUUACUACUAAAAUGUAUGUCCCUGGAGAAGUAAUAAAAUCCAUCUCACAAGAAAGCUAGAGAGGGACUGAUCUAUGAUAGACCAGAAGAAGUGAAGAAACUUUGUGCAACACAGUUUAAUAAUAUUUUCUUCUUGGAUUGAUCUGCAAAGGGCUGAUUUAUUAGAAGAUGUCAAUGUCAGACACUUGUUCAAUAUGAGAAGUUAUUAGUCAUAUUAUUGACUGGAAUAAUGACAAUAGUAAAGCAAUACUUGCUUUGUAAGAAUCAAAAUUUCUACUAAAAUCUGUAAACUCUGAUCAUAAAAUUUUUAGAUUUUAAAAAUGUUUAUGUGCAAACUAAACAAAACCUGGCCUGAAUUCAUCUGUACCAUUCCAUUCUGCUAUUGUUAUGUGAAUAUUUUACUGGAAAAUAAAACUAUUAAUUGCUACACUUUUAA